This 483-nucleotide ribosomal RNA is filed under the name uncultured bacterium. RNAcentral describes it as "partial 16S ribosomal RNA". It matches the Rfam family "Bacterial small subunit ribosomal RNA", at positions 28 to 507 of the family's 1533-position model. The record is from RNAcentral.
GACGAACGCUGGCGGCGUGCUUAACACAUGCAAGUCGAACGCUGAAGCUCAGCUUUUGUUGGGUGGAUGAGUGGCGAACGGGUGAGUAACACGUGAGUAACCUGCCCCCUUCUUUGGGAUAACGCCCGGAAACGGGUGCUAAUACUGGAUAUUCACUGGUCUUCGCAUGGGGGUUGGUGGAAAGGGUUUUUCUGGUGGGGGAUGGGCUCGCGGCCUAUCAGCUUGUUGGUGGGGUGAUGGCCUACCAAGGCUUUGACGGGUAGCCGGCCUGAGAGGGUGACCGGUCACAUUGGGACUGAGAUACGGCCCAGACUCCUACGGGAGGCAGCAGUGGGGAAUAUUGCACAAUGGGCGCCAGCCUGAUGCAGCGACGCCGCGUGAGGGAUGGAGGCCUUCGGGUUGUGAACCUCUUUCGCUCAUGGUCAAGCCGCAACAAUGGUUGUGGUGAGGGUAGUGGGUAAAGAAGCGCCGGCUAACUACGUG